CACCGCGGUUAUACGAGAGGCCCUAGUUGAUUUACACGGCGUAAAGAGUGGUUAUGGAAACUUUACACUAAAGCUGAAAGCCCCUCUAACUGUCAUACGCACUCAAGGGCCAGAAAAACACUCAUACGAAAGUAGCUUUAUCAAUGACAACCAGAACCCACGACAGCUGGGGCA
Molecule: ribosomal RNA, 174 nt
Filed under: Lycothrissa crocodilus (sabretoothed thryssa)
Lineage: Eukaryota; Metazoa; Chordata; Actinopteri; Clupeiformes; Engraulidae
Description: partial 12S rRNA
Source: RNAcentral